RNAcentral lists this ribosomal RNA (440 nucleotides) under uncultured bacterium. Its description in RNAcentral is "bacterial SSU rRNA". It matches the Rfam family "Bacterial small subunit ribosomal RNA", at positions 954 to 1392 of the family's 1533-position model. The record is from RNAcentral.
GCUAAACGCGAAGAACCUUACCUGGGUUUGACAUGCACAGGACGCACCUAGAGAUAGGUGUUCCCUUGUGGCCUGUGUGCAGGUGGUGCAUGGCUGUCGUCAGCUCGUGUCGUGAGAUGUUGGGUUAAGUCCCGCAACGAGCGCAACCCUUGUCCUAUGUUGCCAGCGGGUGAUGCCGGGGACUCGUAGGAGACUGCCGGGGUCAACUCGGAGGAAGGUGGGGAUGACGUCAAGUCAUCAUGCCCCUUAUGUCCAGGGCUUCACACAUGCUACAAUGGCCGGUACAAAGGGCUGCGAUGCCGUGAGGUGGAGCGAAUCCUUGGUAAAGCCGGUCUCAGUUCGGAUCGGGGUCUGCAACUCGACCCCGUGAAGUCGGAGUCGCUAGUAAUCGCAGAUCAGCAACGCUGCAGUGAAUACGUUCCCGGGUCUUGUACACACCG